UGAGGAAUAUUGGUCAAUGGACGCAAGUCUGAACCAGCCAUGCCGCGUGCAGGAAGACGGCUCUAUGAGUUGUAAACUGCCUUUGUACGAGGGUAAACGCUCUUACGCGUAAGAGCCUGAAAGUAUCGUACGAAUAAGGAUCGGCUAACUCCGUGCCAGCAGCCGCGGUAAUACGGAGGAUCCAAGCGUUAUCCGGAUUUAUUGGGUUUAAAGGGUGCGUAGGCGGCGAUGCAAGUCAGCGGUAAAAGCCCGGGGCUCAACCCGCGAGCGUGCAACUGACAGUGCUAGAGAAGGCAGAGAGGUACGGCGAUGCGGACAGUGUAGCGGUGGAAGAUGCUUAGAUAUUGCGCAGAACUCCGAUUGCGAAGGCAGCGUACUGGCGCCUGACUGACGCUGAGGCACGAAAGCGUGGGGGAUCGAACAGGAUUAGAUACC
RNAcentral lists this ribosomal RNA (435 nucleotides) under uncultured bacterium. Its description in RNAcentral is "bacterial SSU rRNA". It matches the Rfam family "Bacterial small subunit ribosomal RNA", at positions 355 to 786 of the family's 1533-position model. The record is from RNAcentral.